Molecule: ribosomal RNA, 249 nt
Filed under: uncultured bacterium
Lineage: Bacteria
Description: partial 16S ribosomal RNA
Rfam family: Bacterial small subunit ribosomal RNA
Source: RNAcentral
AAGAUGGCGACCGGCGCACGGGUGAGUAACACGUAUCCAACCUGCCGAUAACUCCGGAAUAGCCUUUCGAAAGAAAGAUUAAUACCGGAUGGCAUACGAAUAUCGCAUGAUAUUUUUAUUUAAAGAAUUUCGGUUAUCGAUGGGGAUGCGUUCCAUUAGUUUGUUGGCGGGGUAACGGCCCACCAAGACAACGAUGGAUAGGGGUUCUGAGAGGAAGGUCCCCCACAUUGGAACUGAGACACGGUCCAA